Molecule: unclassified non-coding RNA, 253 nt
Filed under: uncultured Bacillaceae bacterium
Lineage: Bacteria; Bacillati; Bacillota; Bacilli; Caryophanales; Bacillaceae
Description: contains 16S-23S intergenic spacer region
Rfam family: Bacterial small subunit ribosomal RNA
Source: RNAcentral
UACGUAGGUGGCAAGCGUUGUCCGGGAUUAUUGGGCGUAAAGCGCGCGCAGGCGGUUCCUUAAGUCUGAUGUGAAAGCCCACGGCUCAACCGUGGAGGGUCACUGGAAACUGGGGAACUUGAGUGCAGAAGAGAAGAGCGGAAUUCCACGUGUAGCGGUGAAAUGCGUAGAGAUGUGGAGGAACACCAGUGGCGAAGGCGGCUCCUUGGUCUGUAACUGACGCUGAGGUGCGAAAGCGUGGGGAGCAUACAGG